RNAcentral lists this ribosomal RNA (468 nucleotides) under uncultured bacterium. Its description in RNAcentral is "partial 16S ribosomal RNA". It matches the Rfam family "Bacterial small subunit ribosomal RNA", at positions 28 to 507 of the family's 1533-position model. The record is from RNAcentral.
GACGAACGCUGGCGGCGUGCUUAACACAUGCAGGUCGAACGGAAAGGCCCUGCUUUUGUGGGGUGCUCUAGUGGCGAACGGGUGAGUAACACGUGAGUAACCUGCCCUUGACUUUGGGAUAUCUUCAGGAAACUGGGGCUAAUACCGGAUAGGAGCUCCUGCUGCAUGGUGGGGGUUGGAAAGUUUCGGCGGUUGGGGAUGGACUCGCGGCUUAUCAGCUUGUUGGUGGGGUAGUGGCUUACCAAGGCUUUGACGGGUAGCCGGCCUGGGAGGGUGACCGGCCACAUUGGGACUGAGAUACGGCCCAGACUCCUACGGGAGGCAGCAGUGGGGAAUAUUGCACAAUGGGCGGAAGCCUGAUGCAGCAACGCCGCGUGCGGGAUGACGGCCUUCGGGUUGUAAACCGCUUUCGCCUGUGACGAAGCGUGAGUGACGGUAAUGGGUAAAGAAGCACCGGCUAACUACGUG